This 1441-nucleotide long non-coding RNA is filed under the name Marmota monax (woodchuck). Lineage: Eukaryota; Metazoa; Chordata; Mammalia; Rodentia; Sciuridae. The record is from RNAcentral.
CUCCUGAGCCACUGGGAUUAUAGGCAUGCACCAUUGCACCUGGUGAGCAAUAUGAUUCUUGCCAUAGAUUUGGAGGCUGAGAAGCAGCUCAUCCAAUCUAGUAAUGCACCUCAGUCCAUGCAGCAAGUUUUGGAGAUUGGAUCUGAACUUGCUAUUCUUCCUCUACAGGAGCUAUAUGUUGAUCCCUUUCAAAAGUAAAAAAUUGUUAUUAAAAAGGUGUAUUUGAGCCUCUGUAAGGAGGCUCCUAGGCAGGAAGGGGUACCCUCUGCUGUGUUUGCUCUUGGGUUCAAUCAUGGAGAAUGACUUGGAAUUGGUUAGAAAUGAAAUCCAACCCAGUUCGCCCCAAUUCCAGAGGGUCCAGGGAAUAGGUAAGGGAGCAGGGGGUGUCUGUUUCUAGUUUACUAAGUACUCAGCCAAAGCCCUUUUGGUUCAAACUUUUAGAUUCAUACUGGGAAAAAAAAUAUCCAAAAUGUCCAUUUUGGUAAAUGGAGUAGAAGAAAUAUUCUUGCAUCUUUACUUGAAUAAUUGAGGAUCCUUUCUGAGCCAGGGUUUUACCUGUGAACUUUCAACACACUGCUUUCUGAAAACACCCUGGGUGCAGGGUUGGGGGACCCAGGCUGGAGUGUGGCUCAGAUCCCUACCAGCUGGGUGACUGCACCCAAGUAACUAUGUGCUUAACUGCAAUUCUGUCCUCUUUAUCAGUGGCCGAGAGCAGCAUUUGGCUCAUCCAGGAGUUAAAUGAGAUGAUCCGUCUUCUCACUUUGCUUCUCCCAUCACCGUGCAAACACGAAUUGCUGUAAUCAACCAGGAGGCCGGGUGCAGAAGGAGACAGGACCUCUUGUCUUCUUAAGUCCAGGUUAAAAGCUGGGCAUGGCGGUAUACACUUGUAAUCCCAGCCCCUUGGGGAGCCGAGGUAGAAGGAUCCCUUUAACCGGAGCAUUUGAAGUCAGCUUGGGUAAUAUAGUGAGACCCCUGUAUUUAAAAAAAAAAUCCAGGUUCGCUGUAAAGAUUCUUUUCAUUCAUCACUUGCAGGCACAAUCUUUGGUUUCCUGGUGGAGAAGAGUGGAGAGCUGCUGGGGUCCAGGUGAGGGCAGAGUUCUUGGGAGUGGGAGUGGACAGAGGAGUCCAGACAGCGGCCAGGGAUGAGGGAUUCAAAAUGUCAAAGGAUGGGAGAGGUCUGCUAAGAAGCAUUAAUAUGUAAUGUUCUUUGAAAGCUGGAGCUCAGAGCAGGUAUCAUUUGAGUUUUUAUCUAAUGGGUAUGUUCUUUGGAAAGUGAUGCCACAUUGGAACGAGGCCAUGCGAGGCCCAGGGAUCAAUUUGGAUUGCAUUUAGGGAAUGAUGAUCAGAAUUCUGGAACUCAGGCAUUGUGUUCAAGGUGCACUGCUUAUUAAAAUAAUCACCCAAGAUCUGAGCUGUUAGAUAAUUUGUUCUUUCUUUCUUU